Lathyrus oleraceus (garden pea) is the source of this 108-nucleotide small nucleolar RNA. Lineage: Eukaryota; Viridiplantae; Streptophyta; Magnoliopsida; Fabales; Fabaceae. The record is from RefSeq and is a predicted model, not a curated record.
AAACCAUUUUUCGAGUCCGUGCACGUCAUCUCCUUGAAUCGCUCCCAUGCUUCAAAGAGAGAUUCCCCAUCCUUUUUUCCUAAAUCAGGUGAUUUGGUUUCUAAGUUA